RNAcentral lists this ribosomal RNA (626 nucleotides) under Trichoderma harzianum. RNAcentral describes it as "eukaryotic LSU rRNA". The stretch from base 240 to 393 matches the Rfam family "5.8S ribosomal RNA". The record is from RNAcentral. Lineage: Eukaryota; Fungi; Ascomycota; Sordariomycetes; Hypocreales; Hypocreaceae.
CAUCGGGUCUCCGUUGGUGACCAGCGGAGGGUCAUUACCGAGUUUACAACUCCCAAACCCAAUGUGAACGUUACCAAACUGUUGCCUCGGCGGGAUCUCUGCCCCGGGUGCGUCGCAGCCCCGGACCAAGGCGCCCGCCGGAGGACCAACCAAAACUCUUAUUGUAUACCCCCUCGCGGGUUUUUUUUAUAAUCUGAGCCUUCUCGGCGCCUCUCGUAGGCGUUUCGAAAAUGAAUCAAAACUUUCAACAACGGAUCUCUUGGUUCUGGCAUCGAUGAAGAACGCAGCGAAAUGCGAUAAGUAAUGUGAAUUGCAGAAUUCAGUGAAUCAUCGAAUCUUUGAACGCACAUUGCGCCCGCCAGUAUUCUGGCGGGCAUGCCUGUCCGAGCGUCAUUUCAACCCUCGAACCCCUCCGGGGGGUCGGCGUUGGGGAUCGGCCCUGCCUUGGCGGUGGCCGUCUCCGAAAUACAGUGGCGGUCUCGCCGCAGCCUCUCCUGCGCAGUAGUUUGCACACUCGCAUCGGGAGCGCGGCGCGUCCACAGCCGUUAAACACCCAACUUCUGAAAUGUUGACCUCGGAUCAGGUAGGAAUACCCGCUGAACUUAAGCAUAUCAAUAAGCGGAGGA